CUAGUAACUGCGAGUGAAGCGGGAAAAGCUCAAAUUUGAAAUCUGGCAGUCUUUUUUUUCUUCUUUGGCUGUCCGAGUUGUAAUCUAGAGAAGUGCUUACCUGCACUGGACCAUGUAUAAGUCUCCUGGAAUGGAGCGUCGCAGAGGGUGAGAAUCCCGUCUUUGACAUGGACUGCCAGUGUGUUGUGGUGUGCUCUCAAAGAGUCGAGUUGUUUGGGAAUGCAGCUCUAAAUGGGUGGUAAACUCCAUCUAAAGCUAAAUAUUGGCGAGAGACCGAUAGUGAACAAGUACCGUGAGGGAAAGAUGAAAAGGACUUUGGAAAGAGAGUUAAACAGUAUGUGAAAUUGUUGAAAGGGAAACGCUUGAAGUCAGUUAUGUUGGCUAGGGAUCAACCUAGCUACUUUUGCUGGGUGAAUUUCCUAGUCUUACAGGCCAACAUCAGUCUUGACUGCUAGAAAAGAGCAGAGGGAAUGUGGCACCUUUGGGUGUGUUAUAGCCCUUUGUCAUAUGUGGCAGUCGGGACUGAGGGAUGCAGCAUGCCGCGAGGCUGGGUUUCUGACCACGUUCAUGCUUAGGAUGUUGGCUUUUAAUGGCUUCAAUCGACCCGUCUUGAAACACGGACCAAGGAGUCUAACAUGCCUGCGAGUGUUUGGGUGGGGAAAACCCUUGUGCACAAUGAAAGUGAAAGUUGAGAUCCCUGUCAUGGGGAGCAUCGACGCCCGGACUUGAGCUUUUAGCGACGGAUCCGCGGUAGAGCAUGCAUGUUGGGACCCGAAAGAUGGUGAACUAUGCCUGAAUAGGGCAAAGCCAGAGGAAACUCUGGUGGAGGCUCGUAGCGAUUCUGACGUGCAAAUCGAUCGUCAAAUUUGGGUAUAGGGGCGAAAGAUAAUCG
RNAcentral lists this ribosomal RNA (892 nucleotides) under Amanita battarrae. RNAcentral's name for it is "eukaryotic LSU rRNA". It matches the Rfam family "Eukaryotic large subunit ribosomal RNA", at positions 80 to 937 of the family's 3401-position model. Lineage: Eukaryota; Fungi; Basidiomycota; Agaricomycetes; Agaricales; Amanitaceae. The record is from RNAcentral.